Molecule: ribosomal RNA, 440 nt
Filed under: uncultured bacterium
Lineage: Bacteria
Description: partial 16S ribosomal RNA
Rfam family: Bacterial small subunit ribosomal RNA
Source: RNAcentral
CCUACGGGAGGCAGCAGUGGGGGAUAUUGCACAAUGGGGGGAACCCUGAUGCAGCGACGCCGCGUGGGUGAAGAAGCGCCUCGGCGCGUAAAGCUCUGUCAGCAGGGAAGAAAAUGACGGUACCUGAAGAAGAAGCCCCGUCUAACUACGUGCCAGCAGCCGCGGUAAUACGUAGGGGGCAGGCGUUAUCCGGAUUUACUGGGUGUAAUGGGGGCGCAGACGGCGAUGCAAGCCAGGAGUGAAAGCCCGGGGCCCAACCCCGGGACUGCUCUUGGAACUGCGUGGCUGGAGGGCAGGAGGGGCAGGCGGAAUUCCUGGUGUAGCGGUGAAAUGCGUAGAUAUCAGGAGGAACACCGGUGGCGAAGGCAGCCUGCUGGACUGCAACUGACGUUGAGGCCCGAAGGCGUGGGUAUCAAACAGGAUUAGAUACCCCUGUAGUC